GGGAAUUGGAAAAACAUUGAUAUCCCCAUUUUGAUUCACUUAUUUGCUAUACUCCAAGCACCAACUUCAGUGUUUUGGAAUCUGUAUCUGCAGCGUUUUGCUUUGAAAUGCUGCACAUGCAAAGCUUAACCCCUUCCCUGGUGGAUGUAUAACUCCGGCAGUGUCAAACAAAAUUCUGGACUGUCAAUUCUGUGCAAAAUUUGGCAUCUGACACCAACACGCACAGCAUGCUAAUGUCAGCCAAUGGUGGCACACCUUCCUCCUUAACAUCCAUCCCCUGGCAAGCCUUUAUAUUUUAAUUUUGUCCAUUGGGAUAGGGUGCAAUCAAGCACAAAAGAGGUUACUCCAACCAAAAUUAGUGGAGUAACCUUUUUAAGGAUAAGCUCUCAAAAAAUAAUGCUCCCCCCCCCCCCAGAUUAGAGGCAGUGCAACACCCUUCUCUUGCAGCAAAAUAG
This is a non-coding RNA of Pelobates cultripes (western spadefoot toad), 455 nucleotides long. Lineage: Eukaryota; Metazoa; Chordata; Amphibia; Anura; Pelobatidae. The record is from the annotation of a GenBank genome assembly.